RNAcentral lists this ribosomal RNA (500 nucleotides) under uncultured bacterium. Its description in RNAcentral is "partial 16S ribosomal RNA". It matches the Rfam family "Bacterial small subunit ribosomal RNA", at positions 30 to 523 of the family's 1533-position model. The record is from RNAcentral.
AUUGAACGCUGGCGGAAUGCUUUACACAUGCAAGUCGAACGGCAGCACGGACUUCGGUCUGGUGGCGAGUGGCGAACGGGUGAGUAAUACAUCGGAACGUGCCCAAUCGUGGGGGAUAACGUAGCGAAAGCUACGCUAAUACCGCAUACGAUCUAAGGAUGAAAGCGGGGGAUCGCAAGACCUCGCGCGAUUGGAGCGGCCGAUGGCAGAUUAGGUAGUUGGUAGGGUAAAGGCCUACCAAGCAGACGAUCUGUAGCUGGUCUGAGAGGUUGAACAGCCACACUGGGACUGGUCAACGGCCCAGACUCCUACGGGAGGCAGCAGUGGGGAAUUUUGGACAAUGGACGCAAGUCUGAUCCAGCCAUUCCGCGUGCAGGAUGAAGGCCCUCGGGUUGUAAACUGCUUUUGUACAGAACGAAAAGGCUCUGGUUAAUACCUAGGGCUCAUGACGGUACUGUAAGAAUAAGCACCGGCUAACUACGUGCCAGCCGCCGCCGUAA